GACAGAGGAUGCAAGCGUUAUCCGGAAUGAUUGGGCGUAAAGCGUCUGUAGGUGGCUUAAAAAGUCUUCUGUCAAAGAUCAGGGCUUAACCCUGGGCCGGCAGGAGAAACUCUUAGGCUAGAGUUUGGUAGGGGCAGAGGGAAGUCCCGGUGGAGCGGUGAAAUGCGUAGAGAUCGGGAGGAACACCAAAGGCGAAAGCACUCUGCUGGGCCACAACUGACACUGAGAGACGAAAGCGAGGGGAGCAAAAGGG
Molecule: ribosomal RNA, 253 nt
Filed under: uncultured bacterium
Lineage: Bacteria
Description: partial 16S ribosomal RNA
Rfam family: Bacterial small subunit ribosomal RNA
Source: RNAcentral